This is a small nucleolar RNA of Humulus lupulus (European hop), 104 nucleotides long. Lineage: Eukaryota; Viridiplantae; Streptophyta; Magnoliopsida; Rosales; Cannabaceae. The record is from RefSeq and is a predicted model, not a curated record.
AUUCCAUGAUGUGGCCAAUUCCUUUGCAGUCUUUUAAAACGCUCCCAUGCAUCAUAUAAAGACUCCCCAUCCAGCUGAUGGAAAUUAUUAAUGUUUUCUAGAAU